CCUUACCUGGACUCGAAAUGUAGUCGACGGCCUCAGAGAUGAGGCUUUCCCGCAAGGGACGGCUGCAUAGGUGCUGCAUGGCUGUCGUCGGCUCGUGUCGUGAGAUGUUGGGUUAAGUCUCGCAACGAGCGCAACCCUCAUCCUUAGUUGCUCGUCCCGAUUUAUCGGGAAAGCACCCUAAGGGAGCCGCCUCGGAUAACGGGGAGGAAGGUGGGGAUGACGUCAAGUCCUCAUGGCCUUUAUGCCCAGGGCUACACACGUGCUACAAUGGCCGGUACAAAGCGUCGCGAACCCGCGAGGGGGAGCCAAUCGCAAAAAACCGGUCUCAGUUCGGAUUGCAGUCUGCAACUCGACUGCAUGAAGCUGGAAUCGCUAGUAAUCGCGUAUCAGAACGACGCGGUGAAUACGUUCCCGGGCCUUGUACACACCGCCCGUCACAUCACGAAAGUGGGCUGUACUAGAAGUCGUGAUUCCAACCGCAAGGGGGAUAGCGCCCAAGGUAUGACCCAUGAUUGGGGUG
This 520-nucleotide ribosomal RNA is filed under the name uncultured bacterium. RNAcentral describes it as "bacterial SSU rRNA". It matches the Rfam family "Bacterial small subunit ribosomal RNA", at positions 969 to 1482 of the family's 1533-position model. The record is from RNAcentral.